GCGGAUUCGCUGAUGUAUGCUGAAAUCCGUGAGUCCACGGGCAUGUGUGAUACUGAGCUGAUGGGCUGCCUGCAGUCACUUGUAUCGGUUGAUGGGUCCGCAGGUAUCCUAAGUCUGAAAAGAUAUGACGAAACUGGGUUCUCUGAGAAUGACAUUCUGUCCAUCAACGAGAAGUUCAAUGGCGGACCGGAUCUAUCCCUCAAGCAUGAUUUUGAAAAUGGAAAACUGUCUGGAGCUGUGGAUGAGGCAGCUAGUCACAACAUAGAUACUGCUAUUGGGAGGCUAAUGAAAAGGAAGAAGUCACUUGAUCACGCCACUCUCAUCAAGGAAGUUUCCGCCGAGCUUUGUCCUCGCUUUGUCACGACUCCGGCUGCGAUAAAAAGCCGAAUCGAGCACUUGAUGGGACACAACAGUGAGUUACUGGAAAGGGAUCCCCAUGAUCCGAGUCGUUACUUAUAUAUC
Molecule: ribosomal RNA, 462 nt
Filed under: Triticum aestivum (bread wheat)
Lineage: Eukaryota; Viridiplantae; Streptophyta; Magnoliopsida; Poales; Poaceae
Description: partial small subunit ribosomal RNA
Source: RNAcentral